Transfer RNA from Neurospora crassa OR74A, 85 nucleotides. It matches the Rfam family "tRNA". Rfam says of the family: Transfer RNA (tRNA) molecules are approximately 80 nucleotides in length. Their secondary structure includes four short double-helical elements and three loops (D, anti-codon, and T loops). Further hydrogen bonds mediate the characteristic L-shaped molecular structure. tRNAs have two regions of fundamental functional importance: the anti-codon, which is responsible for specific mRNA codon recognition, and the 3' end, to which the tRNAs corresponding amino acid is attached (by aminoacyl-tRNA synthetases). tRNAs cope with the degeneracy of the genetic code in two manners: having more than one tRNA (with a specific anti-codon) for a particular amino acid; and 'wobble' base-pairing, i.e. permitting non-standard base-pairing at the 3rd anti-codon position. NCBI's taxonomy places the organism in Eukaryota, Fungi, Ascomycota, Sordariomycetes, Sordariales, Sordariaceae. The record is from Rfam.
GGUUGUGUAGUGUAGUGGUUAUCACUCUGGAUUUUGAAAACAUCAAAACUUUCCAGUAACCCCGGUUCGAACCCGGGCACGACCU